This 695-nucleotide ribosomal RNA is filed under the name Pseudomonas sp. RNAcentral's name for it is "bacterial SSU rRNA". It matches the Rfam family "Bacterial small subunit ribosomal RNA", at positions 60 to 750 of the family's 1533-position model. The record is from RNAcentral. Lineage: Bacteria; Pseudomonadati; Pseudomonadota; Gammaproteobacteria; Pseudomonadales; Pseudomonadaceae.
AGUCGAGCGGAUGAAGAGAGCUUGCUCUCUGAUUCAGCGGCGGACGGGUGAGUAAUGCCUAGGAAUCUGCCUGGUAGUGGGGGACAACGUUUCGAAAGGAACGCUAAUACCGCAUACGUCCUACGGGAGAAAGCAGGGGACCUUCGGGCCUUGCGCUAUCAGAUGAGCCUAGGUCGGAUUAGCUAGUUGGUGAGGUAAUGGCUCACCAAGGCGACGAUCCGUAACUGGUCUGAGAGGAUGAUCAGUCACACUGGAACUGAGACACGGUCCAGACUCCUACGGGAGGCAGCAGUGGGGAAUAUUGGACAAUGGGCGAAAGCCUGAUCCAGCCAUGCCGCGUGUGUGAAGAAGGUCUUCGGAUUGUAAAGCACUUUAAGUUGGGAGGAAGGGCAUUAACCUAAUACGUUAGUGUUUUGACGUUACCGACAGAAUAAGCACCGGCUAACUCUGUGCCAGCAGCCGCGGUAAUACAGAGGGUGCAAGCGUUAAUCGGAAUUACUGGGCGUAAAGCGCGCGUAGGUGGUUUGUUAAGUUGGAUGUGAAAGCCCCGGGCUCAACCUGGGAACUGCAUUCAAAACUGACAAGCUAGAGUAUGGUAGAGGGUGGUGGAAUUUCCUGUGUAGCGGUGAAAUGCGUAGAUAUAGGAAGGAACACCAGUGGCGAAGGCGACCACCUGGACUGAUACUGACACUGAG